AUUGAACGCUGGCGGCAGGCCUAACACAUGCAAGUCGAACGAGUGGCGGACGGGUGAGUAAUGUCUGGGAAACUGCCUGAUGGAGGGGGAUAACUACUGGAAACGGUAGCUAAUACCGCAUACCAUCAGAUGUGCCCAGAUGGGAUUAGCUUGUUGGUGGGGUAACGGCUCACCAAGGCGACGAUCCCUAGCUGGUCUGAGAGGAUGACCAGCCACACUUGAACUGAAACACGUUCCAGACUCCGAUGGGAGGCAGCAGUGGGGAAUAAUGCACAAUGGGCACAAGCCUGAUGCCGCCAUGCCGCGUGAAUGAAGAAGGCCUUCGGGAUGUAAAGUUCUGUAUUCGGGGAGGCGUUGCCCGCAGAAGAGGCCCCGGCUAACUCCGGGCCAGCAGCCGCGGUAAUAC
RNAcentral lists this ribosomal RNA (406 nucleotides) under uncultured bacterium. RNAcentral's name for it is "partial 16S ribosomal RNA". It matches the Rfam family "Bacterial small subunit ribosomal RNA", at positions 30 to 526 of the family's 1533-position model. The record is from RNAcentral.